This 233-nucleotide long non-coding RNA is filed under the name Gossypium barbadense (sea-island cotton). RNAcentral's name for it is "long non-coding RNA (GBAR_LNC004025)". The record is from RNAcentral. Lineage: Eukaryota; Viridiplantae; Streptophyta; Magnoliopsida; Malvales; Malvaceae.
AAAAAAAAUUCCUGCAAUCCAAAUCACGGAUCCAUGUGCGAGGAACUAAUCAGGGUGAAAAAGGUUUUGAAAUUACCGAAACUUCAAUCUGAGUAGAUAGUGAAGCCUCGAUAAUGAGAAUACUGAUUUGCUUUCGAAUCCAAGCUGCAAUCUUUAUGAUCCCGACCUCUACAUAAUCCACCCAGUUGACAAUGAACGGAAGAAAUCUCCAAAACUAUUUUCAAAGAUAUUUU